UAGCGGAACUCCUACGGGAGGCAGCAGUGGGGAAUUUUGGACAAUGGGGGCAACCCUGAUCCAGCAAUGCCGCGUGAGUGAAGAAGGCCUUCGGGUUGUAAAGCUCUUUUGUCAGGGAAGAAACGGUAGUAGCUAAUAUCUAUUACUAAUGACGGUACCUGAAGAAUAAGCACCGGCUAACUACGUGCCAGCAGCCGCGGUAUUACGUAGGGUGCAAGCGUUAAUCGGAAUUACUGGGCGUAAAGCGUGCGCAGGCGGUUGUGUAAGUCAGAUGUGGAAUCCCCGGGCUCAACCUGGGAAUUGCAUUUGGGACUGCAAGGCUAGAGUGUGUCAGAGGGGGGUAGAAUUCCACGUGUAGCAGUGAAAUGCGUAGAUAUGUGGAGGAAUACCGAUGGCGAAGGCAGCCCCCUGGGAUAACACUGACGCUCAUGCACGAAAGCGUGGGGAGCAAACAGGAUUAGAAACCCUUGUAGUCCACUUAUG
Molecule: ribosomal RNA, 483 nt
Filed under: uncultured bacterium
Lineage: Bacteria
Description: bacterial SSU rRNA
Rfam family: Bacterial small subunit ribosomal RNA
Source: RNAcentral